AGCAGUAGCCGCGGUAAUACGUAGGGUGCAAGCGUUAAUCGGAAUUAUUGGGCGUAAAGCGAGUGCAGACGGUUACUUAAGCCAGAUGUGAAAUCCCCAAGCUUAACUUGGGACGUGCAUUUGAAACUGGGUGACUAGAGUGUGUCAGAGGGAGGUAGAAUUCCACAUGUAGCGGUGGAAUGCGUAGAGAUGUGGAGGAAUACCGAUGGCGAAGGCAGCCUCCUGGGAUAACACUGACGCUCAUGCACGAAAGCGUGGGGAGCAAACAGGAUUAGAUACCCCCGUAGUCCCUGUCUCUUAUAC
RNAcentral lists this ribosomal RNA (303 nucleotides) under uncultured bacterium. Its description in RNAcentral is "partial 16S ribosomal RNA". It matches the Rfam family "Bacterial small subunit ribosomal RNA", at positions 507 to 807 of the family's 1533-position model. The record is from RNAcentral.